UAAUGCUGACUAUAUCGAAUGAUGAUGUCAAUUAUGUGAAUGUAAUUAUGAUGCUUGUUUUAUGAGAAGCUAAACUUAUAUAUUAAGUUUAUGUUUCAUUGCUCAUAAAAAUGGCACUUGAGUGAUAUUCAUGGUCUUUUAUACGUUACUUGUUUUUCAUAAAUUGUUCUUAUGAGAAUCAUUGGAUUAUUAAAGUUUCCAUAUCCAUAUGAUACACUUACUCAACAUCAUAAUGUUCUACUUGUUAUUAAAUUUAGAAUUAUGUAUAGUAUACCUGAUGACCAGUUGAAGUGUAACACUCAGGACUGAUACUUUACAGUCACAAUCAAAUGUUUAAUCGACAGUGUGUCUGUUUCCAAUUAUGAUUGAGAUAUUGUGAUGUUAUUGUAUGUGAAUGGUAAAUGUUCUGCUACUUUAAAUGAAACAAGUAUUUCUGUCUCAUAACUUUAGUUCGGAUUGAGGUAUUGUGCUUUAAUUAUGCUUGUAGGAAUUAUACAUGCAGACCUGGAGUGGGAUUCAUUUCGCACCGGUUGGGUCAAGGUCAUUGUAAAAAGAGAUUAAUACAAUUAUCCUCAAAAACUGUAGUUUGGAUUAAUGUAUUUCGCUGUAAUAUUGUGUGAUGGUAGCUUCAAUGCAUACCCUGCUCUUAUACUUUAUUAAAUCCAACUAAAAAUAUUGGUAAUUAUUUGAAAAUCUAUUUUUUAUGUCUCAUCAGAAAUAGUCUUUAAACAACUCCUUGUAAAUGACUAACUGCUGCAAGAAGCUGUCUUGCAGCUUAUUUCACUUUUUUGGAACAACAAAGACAUCAUUUCACUUAGAAUAUAUUAAGUGUACCUGCAAAUGCAAAUUCUUCUGUAAAUGCGAAAAAGACCCCAGACAACACAAAAACUCAAGUGUUUAACGAAAAGCAAUUUAAAGGUCUAUUGCAUCACUAAUUUGUUUUGUUGGAAUCAAAUGUUGGUCAAACAUGGCAUGCCUUUUAAUAAUUUGUCAAUUUGAUGAACCUGCAGGAAACAUAUCUACGGAUAUAUGUUUACGGUUCCUCGUUUUGGAAGUUCAUAUCUUAAAAUUCACAUUGUAUUGUCCAUUUCAAGUCCAUAAUUUUGCCUCUGGGUGAUUGUAAUGUUAAUUAACAUGAUUUGUUUUUCAAAGCAUUCUUCUGUGUCUGUAACGUCUCGCAUGUUAUAAAGAAGUCCGCUGUUCCAAUGCAGUAUUUUGGAGUAUGAUUACAUGCAAUACAUGCUUUUAUUUGUUAUGCAUAUGGCAAGAAACGAAACCAUUCAUGUCAGUCUAGCUUGAAUGGAAUUCAUAUGCAUGUUGAUUGUCUUGAUAGAUUUUUCUGACUGGCUCUAUGGUUUGAGUGUUUUGUAUAGAAGUGUAUGAUUUGAUAAAUAUACAAUGUAUAAAA
This is a long non-coding RNA of Dreissena polymorpha, 1408 nucleotides long. RefSeq lists it as uncharacterized. The transcript has 2 exons. The record is from RefSeq and is a predicted model, not a curated record. NCBI's taxonomy places the organism in Eukaryota, Metazoa, Mollusca, Bivalvia, Myida, Dreissenidae.